Heterocephalus glaber (naked mole-rat) is the source of this 149-nucleotide small nuclear RNA. Its record names the gene U2. It matches the Rfam family "U2 spliceosomal RNA". From Rfam's summary of the family: U2 is a small nuclear RNA (snRNA) component of the spliceosome (involved in pre-mRNA splicing). The record is from Ensembl. NCBI's taxonomy places the organism in Eukaryota, Metazoa, Chordata, Mammalia, Rodentia, Bathyergidae.
AUCACUUCUCGGCCUUUUGGCUAAGAUCAAGUGUAGUAUCGGAGUGGUCUCAUAUGAAGCCUUAGUGCUGAGGAAGAAUUUUUUUUUUUUUUUGGUACCGGGGAUCGGACUCAGGUCCUUGCACUUGUGCAGCAGGCGGUGAAACCACU